This 67-nucleotide transfer RNA is filed under the name Chalcomitra senegalensis. RNAcentral describes it as "tRNA-Cys". Lineage: Eukaryota; Metazoa; Chordata; Aves; Passeriformes; Nectariniidae. The record is from RNAcentral.
CCCCGACGCAUAGCUAAUGCGCAUCUAUGAGCUUGCAACUCACCGUGAACUUCACUACAGAGCCGAU